GUCAGGAGAUGGACCAGAAGGGUUGUGGUAGAGGCCAGAAAACACCUGGUGUGGUUUCAUCCAGGUGAGUUGUAUCAGCACAACGGCACUAACGCAGGCCGUGGUAGGACUUGGGUUUCUUCUCCAUGAGCCCUGAGGCACAGUGCCAUAGACUGAAAAGCCCCACUUUGUCCUGGAACAGGAAAUUGGACUCACAUAACUAGUUGGUAUGCAAAAUAUGUAAGGCCCCAGUCUGCUCCGAAUUACACCCAUGCAAACCGUUGAAACUUAAAAGGGAAUUUAAAAUAUGCAUGAGUAAGGAGAACAAAUGGCGCCUCAAUUUGCAAACAGCGCUUUGAGGAGAUGCUUCAGAAGAGGUGUUGUGGGUGUUGUGUGAUUCCUUACCUGUGCCCCCAGGACGGGGAGGAGAGAGGCUCUGAUUUUUAAACCAGAAGAGGCGAAAACCAUGUUUUAUUGGUGCUUUUGGUGAAUCAAAAGGAGUAGGAGCAGCCAUUGUCGCUCUCUAAUGUUCUUAAUUAACCAUAAUUUAUUGAAAAGCACCUAUGGAAAAGUAUACUAAAUCUCAUGGCUUGUCAGAAGUCAAAUGUCGGAUUGUUUUGCCGAGAACAGUAAAUAAACUCAACAUGGAUAGACAAAAGGGCUUUGUAGAAGUGAGUGGCUGCAAUGGUGCUGCUCAGGAAGGUGCUGGAGAAGGGCCUUGCUUUUUCCUGUUCUGUUAUAAUGGGGUGGGAACUGAAUUGGCUUCGUGGCCUUCAUUGACUUGAGAGCAUGGAGCUGUGCUUCUGAAGCCUUCGUCCCAGGACAGAGCGCUUUUUGCAUACUUUAGAAAUUGUUUUGACUGUUUUCAUAUUAACUAUUGAACCACAGUGGAAGCGUAUGGAUUCAAGAUAUUUCUGGUGAUUGUGUAACUGGAAAAAACUGUCCUGAUUUUAAAGUAUUUUUGGCAUAUGAGUGAAAGUAAAUAAGCAAUUCUAGAGACUCACUGGAAAGUAAUUGCUCCUGCAGGACACUGGCUGUGCCAGGAGCUCUGGCAGAUGCACUGAGCCUUCGCUAUUAAGAUUCAAAUGAAAGCAUUUUUUAAAGCAAAAGAUCAAAAUCAAGGAUAUAUAAUCUAAAAUGUAAGGAAUUUGGAAAGAGCAGCUGCCUGUGAAGGGAAAUGUCCAACCAGAUGAGCUGGAUUAGGAGGGAGCACGGUGCAAGGAAGCCUGGCGAGCUCCAGGGGCAGCUCGGCUUGCGGUGGCAGCGGGGCUGAGGGCAGGCCGUGAUGGUGCGGGAGCUGGGGGCCGGGCCUGGGGCCUACUCUGUGGCUCUGCUGGGGACACACAAACCGCUGGGGUGACCCGGGGCUGAUCAGAGCUGCAAAUGCUGGCCCAGCUGAAUUUCUGAUGGCAAUGGCAUGUUAGACAGCAGGAGGAAGAGCAGCACCUUCUGGAACCACAGGGCCAGCGGCCUUUGGAUAGGAACAGUUUGUCCCUGCGCUUCCAUCCAUGAUUCACCAGUGUGAAGGAGUCAUCAAAGCACCACUGUCAGCGAAUGUGUCACUAGAGGAAGUGUUCUGCUUUUUUCCUAAACAAGAAGUUAACAAAGCAUUAUUUUUCACUGCCUUCACGCUCUAAGCUGGUGUUUUGGAGGCCAGAGCUCCUGUUCUUUGUUGUUGCUGUGUUCACUCAUUUCAAAGCCAUAGCUGAGUCUCCCCAGGCUGCUCUGCAGGUGACGCAUCUGUACAAAGUGCUGCUUUUGGCUUCAGCAACUUAACAGCACAUCAGUAAACAUCAAGGGGCUGUGGACAGGCAUGCUUUCUGUAGUAAAGCACAUCAGUGAUUUUGAAACUGAAGCUACCUGCAGAAAAAUCUUCAAGAGAUGAAGAUCUCCACCUCUCUCACUCCAACUCUUGAUUUUGUUUUCAUUGUUUCUUUCUUUCUUUCUUGAUUUCUUUCAACCAACGUAUGCUCAAGCUGCCCUCUUCCUGGGCUCCCAGCCACGGGACCAUGGCAUAGAAAUGGCAUUUCGUGGAGCAGAUAUAUCCCAGAUCUUUGUAGACACUCAUUUGUCCGUCAUACCAUGUCCAAAGAAGCCUUCCUGAGAUCCUCAGAAUACUUCAGUACAGGAUAACAGGUGAAAUGAAGCGCUGUUAAUGUUUCACAUUGUCUUGAGGGUUUGUAGCUGGGUCCAAUCAAGGUAGCACCAAAGUAUUAAAUCAAGUAAACGAGCAUUAGUUCUCCAUUCAUUCUAACUGGACAUUCCCUUCUCAGAUAAACCAAGAGAGGAGAGAGGCCAGCCUCUGGAGAGAGAGAAACAUGGAGAUAAAAACGAGGAUUUCAUUUGAGAGGUGCACUGGUGGAAAGCUUCAGUAGAAGGACUCUCGACUCUAGAGAUAGAGAUGUCUGUGCAGAAUAAGCUAUUUCCCUGUAGUAUCCUUCCCUUGGAGUUAAAUGUUUUACUGCAUGUUCAUUAUUUCAUUGCACUGGCACGGGCUUCCCAGAGAGCAGGAGGUGCUCGAGGCCAUGGAUGGGGCUUUGGGCAGCCUGGGCUAAAGGGAGUUGUCCUUGCCAUGGCAGGAGAUUGGAACGGGUUGGUCUGUAAGGUCCCUUACAACCCAACCAUUCUGUGAUUCUAUGACUUUAAGGAGGGGAAAAAAAAAAAAAUACACCCCAGACCCCUAACAUAGCAACAGGGGUGUGAAGAGUCAUCCUACGGGCACGGUAUGGGUUGUGCUCUGCUCUGUGUACUGGCGCUUCCUCAGCCUGUUUGGUUGGGGUUUGCCAAGAUCACAGCUGACUUUUCAACUCCUCCACACUUCGGUAUCAACCGAACAAGUCGUUAGAAACCACUGAAACUCCAACCUCUACGAAAGCAACGCUCCCACGAGCCAUGUGCUGCCAUAGGGCACCCAAUGCAGGCUCUGAGCUGACACAGCACCAACCAAGAGGUUGUGGCAGUGCUCAUUUUCAACGCUGGGUCAGGCAGUGGGAUCGGGUGCUGCCAUCUCCUCUUGGUGGUCCCUGAGAACACAAGGAGCCUUUUCUGUAGCAGUGCAAUUCUCCAGACGUUGUCACUUUUGAAACUGCUGUCUGAGAACGCACAGAGCGUGCCGCAUCUCAGCGGUGACCCUAUCCGUUGCCUGCUUGAGCCUUUGCUGCCACUGCCAUGUCUGAUCAAGGCGGGUGUUGUACAGAAACUGGUGAAAAAAGAGAUUAAAGCCCAGAUAGAUUUAGAGGUGAGUGAGAAAUUAACUCUUCAGGGCAAGGGAUGCCUUUUCUCUGUGGUGUUCAUUCACUUUGAUGCACAGGGGAGGUUUGGGACUUCUGGAUACCACAGCACAAGCCAGUGCCAAUAAAAUAACAUGGAUCAGAGCGGGUCAGUACAAGGGCUGUUCGAGGGGUGGAUGAUGUCAUAGCACUGUAAGAAACAGCAGCUCUCUGAGAUUUGCAAGCUGCAAGCAGACACAAUGGGAUCGCUGCAGGAAGCGGUGGCUGAAAUCCUCCGGGCUCCUCAUGUGGGUCUGAGGAGGAACCUCAGCACUCCUUGACUUCAGUAUCUCUCUGCCUCCAAAUUGCUCUUGGCUCCUCCAUUUCUGCAGCUGAUAAGGACAUGCUAUGAGGCAACCCCUGCAGGCACUUUGUGUUUUGAAACAUGCUGCUCAGUGAAGCAAAAUAGCUGACGUCCCUCUGCAAAAAAAAAGAGGUCCAGGAAUAAUAUCUUAGAGCCAAAGCAGGAGUCUGCCAGGGAACUAAUGCCCUUGGGUGGAUAUUACUGAUAUUGUAUUUGUUAUAUUAGGCAAGAGAGGUCAGCUUAUUCUUUAGAAUAAGUUACAGUAAACAAGCGGCGUAGCUGAGCCCUACAGAGUUUCAUGACUGAUGAGUUUAAACGUUAAGAGCUCCUAUCAUACGAAUCUUGAUCGAGGGAAAGAUAAAUGUGCUGUUUUUUAGCAUUUCACUACAAACACGGUGUUUGUGCCAACUGACACAAUGAUUAAAUAUGAUCCUCUCUUCUCAGAAAUGAGGAGAACUGUAACCGCACCGAGCUCUCCGCCGCUGAUAGAAGAUAAAGGAGUCAAAUCGUGUGUGGUUUCCUUCAGACCAAGUUUGUGGCGCAGAGUUUCAUGAAUGAUGUUGUCCAAAGUCAAAAUAAUCUGGUUCGCCCAAAGGUAUUUCUACGAGGACUGUAAGGCUAUGGAUUUCUACAGAAUAAUAGAAGAGGUCGAUUUGUCCAUAGCACCGUGCUCAGCCUUGGCCCAGUGCACAUGGAGGAUAAAUGCCCUAGGAAUUAAUAGACACUCGAUUGCUUUUGAUCUAAAGCUGGCUAAUAAGGCAAUCCAGCUUUAAAAUGGGCAUGUUUUUGUAUUAUCAUCAUUGCUAGUUAAUACACAGGGUAUUUCCUCACCACUUUGCCCCAGCCGCUCUCUCUGCUCGUGGGGGUUUUUGUCCCAUUGCUGUGUCUGAGCAGUGCCACCGAUGCCCCAGGGACGCGGGGCCAGCCCAGCUUCAUGCAGCCCCAUGGCCGAGCCCUGCCGAGGCCCUGGUGCUGGCUGAGGGAGAAAACCAAGAGCAGCUGCUUGUUUCUUUUCAAGAGUAUCAGAAAAACAAGAAGAUGGUUCCAUCCCCAUGUGCGCCGAAGGCUUUUUCAUCCUUUUCACUUUCAACCACACAAAUGGCAAUCAUUCCUCUCUGCAUUUCUCUUAGGAGCUUUUCCAGUGUAUUGCACUGAUGCUCUGCAGGUCGGUGGGAAUUAGCUACAAGGAGUCUUCCCCUGCUGUAGACCAACAUAAAAGCAGUGAUGGAGCUGCUCCCCACCAAAAAAAAGAGGCGAAGAAUUGCGGCCCUAGACUCCUCCCUGCAUCGAGGUGCUUCAUACACGGUGCUCUGCAGCCUCCCAGAGCCCUGUAGAAGGCUUGGUUUGCUCACCCUAAACAGGACUCCUCGCCCUCCCUGAGAGCAAGGCACUGCUGGGUCCACACGCUGCCUUUGUAGGAAGCGCCAACACCAACCGGUCCCGGCAUUAACGCAGCCAGGUUUGCCAUGCUCCACCAAAAGCUGCCCUGUGCUUGGCCAUGCCCCACUCCUCAAUCUCCAUUGGAUUUGUCCUGAGUCCUUCAAGCUCUGCUUUGUAGGGCUGCGUGCGGGCAGAACCCAGUUCUGCAAAUAAGCUCGCAUCACCGUGGUGAUAUCACCUCCAUGCU
This is a long non-coding RNA of Numida meleagris (helmeted guineafowl), 5179 nucleotides long. RefSeq lists it as uncharacterized. The transcript is spliced from 2 exons. The record is from RefSeq and is a predicted model, not a curated record. NCBI's taxonomy places the organism in Eukaryota, Metazoa, Chordata, Aves, Galliformes, Numididae.